Molecule: unclassified non-coding RNA, 507 nt
Filed under: Hevea brasiliensis (rubber tree)
Lineage: Eukaryota; Viridiplantae; Streptophyta; Magnoliopsida; Malpighiales; Euphorbiaceae
Source: RNAcentral
CCUUCAUACAAGUUUGCUGCUAGGAGCCCUCUCCGGAGGGGACUCAAUUCAAGGUUGGACGAAAAUAGGACUGUCUUAAUAAGAUAAAUAGGUCAUCAGAGGACCCAACGACUUUUAUUUUUUCGUGAAAGCAAGGGCAUAGGAAUCCUAAAAAAUGUCUAUAGCUUUUCUAGCUGGGUGCCCUUAAUCUUGAAAGCUUGGUCUAAAAGUCUGGAUACUAUAAGGUUCGAAUUUCUGGGUCUUGAAUUAGAUUGGAUAGCGGGGCAGGGAAGAAGAUGAGGAGAUAACGGGCGAAUAAGGAACCUUAGAAACCGCUAAAAAAAGAUUUCCAGAUUCUCUGUUUCGGUCCUCUUACUAGAUCUAAAUUUUCUAGCUCUUACAGCAAACAGCAAUAGCUACCUUUACAGUUCCGAAGAAUCUCGAUAGUAGUGUAAAAGUUGGUAAUUCCAUGAUACAAAAAGAUUGUAUGUCGAUUUAGCAUGAGGUGUGUGAUGCAUAGCUAAAAAA